This is a transfer RNA of Rhizoclosmatium globosum, 72 nucleotides long. It matches the Rfam family "tRNA". From Rfam's summary of the family: Transfer RNA (tRNA) molecules are approximately 80 nucleotides in length. Lineage: Eukaryota; Fungi; Chytridiomycota; Chytridiomycetes; Chytridiales; Chytriomycetaceae. The record is from Rfam.
UUACCGGUAGUGUAAUGGUUAACACGAAAGGCUCAUAACCUUUAAAUAAGAGUUCGAUUCUCUUCCGGUGAU